RNAcentral lists this long non-coding RNA (666 nucleotides) under Mustela putorius furo (domestic ferret). RNAcentral describes it as "lncRNA (ENSMPUG00000031122.1)". Lineage: Eukaryota; Metazoa; Chordata; Mammalia; Carnivora; Mustelidae. The record is from RNAcentral.
UUAAAAGUUGCUCAAAUUCUAAUCUGCAGCUGGGAUGGGUAAUUACCCUGUGAUUGCUUCUCACAUCUCUACCACGUACGAUCAGCAGAAAAAGAAGGCUAUUGAAUGAAUAAGCCAGGACUUGAAGCUGCACUGCUAGAGCUCUUGGCCUGAUGGCUUGCUAUGCUAACUUGCCUUGGUAAAGUUAUCCUGACCAGAGCUCCCUCUGUUUCCUCAGAUGACUUAUUCCGUAACAGUUGUGGAUGAUGCUACCUGUGCCUCAUGUCUGUGACCCAGCAAAGCUGCUCUGCAGAAAGCUCCCGAGGACACAUCGCCUCCAUAAUGUAAAGGUGUUAAGCCCAAGAGUGAUCCUUAAUGAGCUACGAGCUGAUUUCCAUCUCAAAGGAGAAAAUUGCUUCAAAAAGCCCAUUUCAUUCUUCAAGACUAUUAUUACGGACCAAAACAUUAAAAUGCUGGAGAGUCGGCGGAGCAGUAAUAAAGUAAAGGUCAGUCGGCAUGACGCUGACUUAGUCAACGAAAGGAUUUCCAGGAGGACGAGAACAUGUGAUGAUCAGCUCAGCUUCUCCAGGACUGCUUUUCUCUUUCUCAUCAGGAACAUGGUAAGACUUUCCAUUUGUUCAGAUGUUGUUAUACCUAUUUUAGUAACAGUUUAUAGUUUUUAAAUAU